Molecule: long non-coding RNA, 309 nt
Organism: Arachis duranensis
Lineage: Eukaryota; Viridiplantae; Streptophyta; Magnoliopsida; Fabales; Fabaceae
Exons: 2
Source: RefSeq, a predicted model, not a curated record
CUCCCCGUCACCAUUCGACUCGGCGUUGAAGCCUGAAGGUUCCUUUCGAGCUUUGAGAGAAAGCCUUCGAGUUCUAGAGCAAGGAAAUCAUGAAGAUGAUGCUAUUGUUUGAGGUCUUGGGAGUGCUGUUGAUGAUGGUAGUAUAUUUCUCUUAUGCAGAAGACAGUGUUUCAAGCCACUAUCAUUUCUAAUGUUUUUUACUUCAUUCCUUAACUGCAAAAUUUGGUUUCUGAUGCUUUUUAAUGCUAAAUUUGAUUGAUUCUGUGGAUAUUUAGACACCCUUUUAUUUAUGAUUCAUGGAAUUGAGAA